CCGCCGCCGCCGCUUCCGUCUCGCCCUUCCUUCUGCGCCAGCCGCCGCCGCCGCCGCGCCUUAGUGCGAGGGGCGGCCCGGGCGCUUUGUGGACGCGCUCGGCGCUCACCUAGGACUGUCACCGGCUCCUCCGCGGCCCACGGGAGCGCUCCCGAAAGACCCCGCGGGUGUCGGUGACGGUGUCGGGAUCCCGGCCCCCACCGGCCCCGAAAACUACUCCUUCCCCGUGCCCCGCUCAGCGCGAAAGCUGCGGGAAGCUCCAAUCUAAGGCAACUGAAGUUGCUAUGAUCAAUAUUCAACUGUUUGUAGAGACUAUGACAUUCUAUGGUGACUAAUCUUCAAGACCACAUGGACUGUAGCCCUCGGGACUCCUCUGUCCAUGGAAUUCUCCAGGCAAUACUGGAAUGGGUUGCCAUUUCCUUCUCCAGAGGAUCUUCCGGACCUAGGUAUCGAACCUGCACCUCCUGCAUUGGCAAAUGGAUUCUUUACCACUGAGAUACCUGGGAAGUUCUGCACUUGUGUGGUUCCUGUCUAAAGUUGGCUCUGGAGAAAUCUGUAUAAGAUUUGAAGUGAAGUGGCAGCCAUCACCCUCAAAGCAGGCUGUCACCGAUGUCCUUGUUGGCUCAUCUUUUCGUUUUGAGGCUCAGCAGCUCCCUCAAUGCCACCAGUCUUCUCCUUUAAAUGCUCUUGAUCCCGGGCAAGAUUAGGUGCAGCAAGAGACACGGUGUGAAGGCAAUACGCUGUGUUACCAUAGUCAGUUGUGCCUGCCUCCCACCACUUGGCAUUCAGCUUUCCUUCCUGACUGCCUGCCUUGCCACUCUGCAGGCAGAUGACUUUGGGGCCACCGGCCGAGGAGUCGGGUUUCAAGAGAGCCCUUCAUCAGCUUCCAUUCUUGUUCCAAGGUCAGCAAUUUUAUCUGAUCCUCCAACUAUCCCCCUCCUUCACAGACCUUUGCUAUCACAUCUUCACCACCACCCCAUUUGUGUAAUAUCUACUCCCUGUAAUGAACCCCUUAGUCUGUAUCAGUCCUAAGUGGUCCUGCCUCCCCAGCUGAAUGAUUAACCAGUUAGGUAACCAUUGAAAGCAAGUUGCUGAGGAGCUUCUCAAGCCCAGGUCUGUCUGACUCCUUCUUCUCACGUUGAAAAGAGCAAUUAAGAUUUUUAUUUGGAUGAUACUCAUUAUAAAGCUCGGUUUAUUGUUAUAGAUGGCAUAACUGGUUAAUUGUUACCAUGUUGAAAUCAGGUUUCCCAGCAAUUUGAACAUGUUUUAUGUUUCCUAACAUUUUUGUUGUUGUUGUUAACAUUUUAUUUUAUUUUAUUUUUACUUGUCAUGUUUGGCCACACCCCAACACGUGUAGGACCUUAGUUCCCUGCCAGGGAUUGAACCUGGGCCACCUGCAGUGGCAGCACAGAGUCCUAACCACUGGACCACCAGGAAAGUCCCCUAACAUUUCAUUUGAAUUACAGCUGUUGUGUAUAUGUCACCUCUAGUAUUGAAUGAUAAAGGUCUUCAAGGACCACAUAAAACUUUCUCCUUAUUUUUCAGCAGUUAUUUUAUGAGUAGCAGGUACUCAAUAAAUGCUUGUGACUUUUAAUAGAGUAACUAAAUUCCUCAAAAAUAGGCACACUUGUACCAUGUCAAAAUAUAAACAUGCAUUUAGGGACACUGGGUGUAUGCUAUAAGAUGUGCAAGAGAUGUUGCCACUAAAUCAGGACAUAUAAAAAGAUGAACAGUUUUGAACAGGAAUUGAACUACUGUUCAAAGCAUUGGAAUGUUCUUGUUACAAGCUGAGGCUUAGCUUCAGAAUGGAAGACAGAGUCCUGCCCUCCCUUUGACAUUGUAGUCUCAUUGUAGAGAAUUUUGUUGUGUGCUACUGCAAAGAUACUGUCCUGUUAUAGCUCUCUGGGAAAAAUAUGUUUUGUUAAAUUUCUCUGCUGUUUACAAGUAAUGGUUAUAAACAUGACAUGCUUUUCGGUGUAAUUUGUAUUAACAUUUCUCCAUCAGUUAAAUUUUAGACAAUCAAAUUCUAGACAACAAAAUAAUAAAUCAAGCCUCAACUUGU
This is a long non-coding RNA of Dama dama (fallow deer), 2062 nucleotides long. RefSeq lists it as uncharacterized. NCBI's taxonomy places the organism in Eukaryota, Metazoa, Chordata, Mammalia, Artiodactyla, Cervidae. The record is from RefSeq and is a predicted model, not a curated record. The transcript has 3 exons.